GACGCCAUGUUACUCUCUAAAUCAACCCAGUUGAGUUGCUCACUAUAUUAUUAGAAAAUGAAGCUCUUUCAAAGGUUACAGAGAUUUUUAUGAUGCCAGCUCAACCUACCUUUCACUCUCACAGACCAACUGUGAUAUAUAAAUUAUUGUCUCUCAGCUCCAAAUCUCCCACUAUCCAUUAGGAUUCUGGCACUGAGACUGCAAAACCAUGAAAUCAGAAGAUAAUGAUUAUCUUCGUGAAAAACUACUCCUGUCUUGUUUUUAAACCCUUGUCAGAGGCUGAAUACCUGAGGCAGUUUCCUUACCAUCUGAGCCGCCAAGGAUCCGGAGGCACCAAAGAGGGGCACCCACAGGUGGCUGAGACCCUCAGAGCAACUACUGGAGUUUCAUCCUUUCCUUUCCUCAGUCUGCACCUACAGUCUGGAAGUACACAGGCACCACCAUCUCUGAUUAAAGGAUGGAGUAUAUACACUGAAUAACCAUGUUAUAUGUUGCGGUUCAGCCCAAACUAAAAUAAAUGAACCAAGAAAUCAAAGGUUGACAAGAAUCAAGAAUCAAGAAAUCAGGAUUUGCUCCUGCUCCUCUCAUGUUUAUACAUAAUUUACUUAUACAAAUUUGGCUUUUUAUCCCUACAAAUUUGACCAAUGUUAAUUUGAAAUCUUUUGUUCCCACGGCAGGUGAGAUUGUUUGUUACCUGACCAGAUAAGAAACCUAAAAUGCUAGCUGGGUGAUAAUUAACAACAACAACAAAAACAGAUGGACAAAGAAGAAAAAUAUAAUUUACCUAUUGUAGAAACAGGAAUUGAUAACAGUUAUGCACUGUCUUCCUUUUGUAUUUUAUGUAUGCACACACAUUUGCAUUCUGUCUCAUGUACACAGGUUUAUACUAACUAUUCUUAUUAAUAUUAACUACACUUUUGUCCUUACUCAUCAGUUUAUAUAAGAAUUCCUAGUGGUAUUUUGCUUUAUAACUUGAUCUUCCAAAUUAUAGACUAUUCUGAAGAGACUGGGAAUGAACGAGAAGAGUAAUUUACAUUGCUCAGAGAUGAACCCUGCGACUAUUGCCCCAAAAUCAUCCUAUGUUUCUUGGUAUUUUGUUACUCACACUUUUGUAGAGACAGUGAAAGUGCUUUAUUCAUAUAAAUGAUUAACUACAUCUUAGGGUGAAGCAUAAAUACAUUGUCAUGAUGUGAAAGUUAAAUGUAUGGAAGGGCACGUAUAAAUGUUGAUUCACCAAUGAAAUACACUGUGAUUGUUUUAGCCCAUUCCAAAUUGUACCUCCUCACUGGGAUGCUAAGACAGGACGCAUUAUAAAUACCUUUUUAAAUUUUUUUCUCAUUUUAUUUUAUAUUAGGCUCUAAGAAGAGUUGAAAAUAGGAACUAGGAAGAGUCAUUGGACUAUUUUUUCCUUUCAACUGCUAUUCUUGUCAAUGUUACUCCUGCUUCUUUUUGUUCACUAAAACUAACUUAUGUACCCUCAAAGGUAUCAGCACUAGGUAAGCAGCAACUUCCCCUCAGAGAUCUAAGCCCCAGCUUCAUUGGUACACACUUCCAAGUAUCGAUUGCUUGCAUUUGUUCCUAGAGCCCAAGAGUUGAUAGCUGUUUUUACUGCCAUUAUCUUAUUUUAUACUGAAUUUGUUUUUCUAGUUCUCUAACACCUGUAUCUGACUCUCUAAGUUAAUAACCUCUUUGUUGAAAGCCUGAUGGAAUUUCUAUACUAUUAAUAUUAACCUGAUACUGACUGUCAUGCUAUUGCUUGCAACCGGUGGCAUAUUCUAUAACCACGCUGACAUCUUGAAGAAGUUCCUUGAAUGUAUUAAAUUCACCCAUGAAUUAAUGGUUUCGCAUAUCUAUAUCCCCUUACCUGAAAUGCCUCAAACUGACUUGUUAUUCAUGAGACAGAUUGAGAGUCACUCCUUUCUUCCCUCGUUCAACCCACAAUCAAUCCUAUGGAAAGUUACUUCUUGCUAAGAUUAUAAUCUUAUAUAUCACUCUGUUAACAUUCAUUAAAAUUAGUUGGAAAAGUUCACUUAUAAAUCAUUCUCAUUAAUCUGUGUGAGUUUUGAAGGCAGAAAUCCUAUGU
Non-coding RNA from Odocoileus virginianus texanus, 2083 nucleotides. The record is from RefSeq and is a predicted model, not a curated record. Lineage: Eukaryota; Metazoa; Chordata; Mammalia; Artiodactyla; Cervidae.